Long non-coding RNA from Oncorhynchus tshawytscha (Chinook salmon), 4365 nucleotides. NCBI's taxonomy places the organism in Eukaryota, Metazoa, Chordata, Actinopteri, Salmoniformes, Salmonidae. The record is from Ensembl.
UGCACGCACCUGCUAGGUGCUUGGUGCAAGGUGAUUGGUUACACCACAGAGAGACAUUGGGGUAGGGCUGGUAGGUGUACAUGUAAACCAAAACCUUUACAAACUCAGACUCUUCACAUUAAGAGCUUGUUCAGGUAACAUCACCACCACUCCGGAGUCCCUCAACAAUGGACAUCACCUCUACCUCUGGUGUCUGCCUUUCUGCCUUCCUUUGACAUCUACUGAUUAACUGAUCUCCUGAAUCUCGGAGGCCUCUCUGCCUUUUGAAUCUGACCCAGGCAUGCAAGAAAUCAUUCGUCCUUCAGCAAGAGGAGGAAAGAGGGAAGAGGAAGAAAAGCCUCUCUAGCAACAAGACCCGGGCCUCUAGUGCUGUUCUGUCUACUGAAAUGCUGCCUGGCUGAAGACUAGGAGGGAGCAGGGCAUGUCUGUGGGUUUUGCCUUUCAUGGGGUCUUGAAUGACCAGAGAGAGACUGGAUGUGGCUCUCUCUCGGGCUCCAGGGGGAAAUUUGAGAUAUUUCCCCUCUCUUUUCUCCCUCUACAACUCCUCACUUUUUUCUUUUUACAUUCUUCCUUUACUGCUCUAUUCACAAUGGUAAGAUUACAGGUGUUGCUGUUUGAUUUCCUUCUCAGUCCCCUCCCUUUUUACCCUCCUACAUACUCCCCCUCCCUCUUUUGUCCCACAUUUUUACCUUCGCCCACCGCCAUACAACUUUCCCGCUCUCGAAACCCACUAAUCCCAUGACAUUUGCAUCAAGUAAUGUUUGAUUUGCUUGUUUCAGAGAAAACCCUUUUCUUUAAGUUUGUUCUGACAACAAUGGAGGCUAUAUAUUUUGAACAUGAAGAAAGAAUUCAAACAGGAUUUUACUUGUAGACUACAAUGAAUGAAAUCAAAUCUCUACUACUGAAAGUAAUGUGGAUACUUUACAUAAAAGGGCUAAUGUAAUCAGACAAUAUGUAUUUGGUGAAAUAACACAAGACCAAUUUUGAAAUGCUACAAUGGUGCAGGAACAGUGUGAAUUGUGCACAGUGCAUACAGUUUGUACGUAGGAUGUUAUGUAACGUAUAAUGUUUGCCGAGAAGUGUCAUUGAGGGCAUUCAAUGUUGGUGGCAGUUUGCCAAUGUGGCAAUGAUAAGGUGAUCUUGAGGCAUAUUAGUCGAGACAUGGGAGUAAUCAUCUUCUGAAAUUCCUGCCAUUGUGGUACUCUAGAAUACUACAUUACCUGCGUAAUACAGUAGCGUUUUGUUACAGCUGCGGCCUGACUUUGCGAGGGCCCAGUGGCCUACCAUACUUUGUUUUAGCUAACAGCGCAGGUGCAUAACUUCAAGGAAUCUUUGUAAAACCACAGCCUCUUAAAUGAUAGUUUAUGUUCUUGGAUCAUAAAAAAGCCCAGUUGUGAUGUGUUUGGAUAAUUAUUAACAAUGACUUAGCCUACUGAUGUGGUUGCAAAAUUAUAGAAUAAAAACAUCAAAGAAAUCCGACAGGGUUUGAUAAACACAGCAGUGCUUUUCUGGAUCCACCUGUAUGGUAGCUUCCUCUAUUUACACUGUCUACAUCUGUGCUGCUCUUGUAAAUGAAAUAUUGAUAUUUGGAUGGCCAUCUCCAUCUUACGAGGUAGUUUUGGAUGUUAUAACUCCCUCUAAUACUGCCUGGUAAUGAUGAUGAUGACCCUCUGCAGGCAUCAUAGACAAAAACACAUAACACAGAAACACAAUCCCACGUAGCACUGUAUUUUCUUAGCCCUUGAUCCUGGGUAGUAAUAUCUUAUGAGUUGCUGAUACGUUUGAAUAGUAUUCUAAGGGUUGUGUAGAAGUAGAUAUGCUCUGAGGUUGGAUAUAGUUAGUUAUGUGCUUUUGGUGACCUUCCCUUUCUUUGGCUUCCAAAGCACGUCUUACCUGACAGUGCUGGGCUGUACACAGGUGUUCUAACACUGUCUGGUAAUGAUGUCCCCUGAAAGCCCCUCAAACAACCACACCAUCUCAACAACCAAUAUAGGUGUAAUGGCACUGUCGCAUACCUGAAGCAGGACGUGUUCACAGUUAAAUCGUUUUUUACUGUUUGGAAAUUGUUUUCAGUCAACUCUAUGUUUUAGAGAGAGACCCUCUAUGUCUGUUGGCAUUGCCAUUGCUCAGGUGUAGACUCUAAGUCACGUGAACUCCAGUUCAAAGUUCAGAACAUGGAAAGAUGGAGACUGUAGUAGGGUAGUCUUUUUUAAAGGACUACAUAUGUGAAUAAGACAAUGAUGGAACAACUGGCUGAAGGAAGCAUCCAGAACAGGUGACACCAGACUUUAAAGGCUGACAGAGAUAGUCCCAUAAGAAAAGAGGAUGAGGUAAAAGUCCUAAACGUCGUCUGUGGUGAGCACCUUCCGCCUAACCCCCCAUUUGUGAAAAGUAGUUCCUCCCUGCCUCCUGCCCUUUGUGUAGAUUUUCCACCCCACCCAGUAGUUAAAGAAUACCAGUGAAAUGACUGUUGCAGUAAGAGCCACUUCCUCUUCCCCUCCCCCAGUCAGAGCUGAAUCUGGGCCUUUGUUGGCUCGUGAUUGGUCCAGCGGCCCUACUGUACCUGCGUGGCAUAUUGUGCAGCUGACACCUGAGAUCUGUGUGAGAAAAAUAAACACAACUACCUCUAUGGCUCUCCUGCUCUCACUUUCUCUUUAUUUCUCUCUCUCUCCUCUUCUCCAGUGAAAUCUGGUGGCAUUAGCUGAAUCUGAUUAUUGCAUUUAAACUAAAAUGAGAGGUUGAUUCACUAUUGUUGAAGUUGUUGUUUUUUUCAUUACUCUCAACCAGUUAUAACUCUCAACCUAUUGCCCUAUUCAACACCAUUAUGAUUGUUAAGGUAAAACAAAGGUAUACAAAGAAACAGAGUUCUCAAACUGUGUGUUCUGUAACAAGAGGUUGGCUGUACAAAUGAGUGGAAAGUGGACACAAAAGCAUUAAGUGAUGGAGGUGUUUGUCAAGGGUUGUUCUUCUGAGUUCUGGUUUACCAACACUCAAUAAUUUAAUCACAGCUUUGUGUACUCAUUCUGAACUCUGAAAUUGUAAUGUCAUCAUUUUUUUGCAUGUCCCAUUAAAGAUCAAAUAAUUUAAAGAUUGUGUAAUAUUGCCUUAUGACAAAGAAUCUGCUCCAGUUAUAAAUGUCUUACUAUAAUUGUAUAUUAUUACCUCCAAUACAUUUUUAAAAACUUUUCACCACUGGUGUGUUGCUAUGAACUAUUCCAAUUCUCCAACUUAUUUCUGUCUUCUUUCUUCACAGCUUGUCUGUCAACAAGCUGCUGUAGCUACAAAGACCCUGGCUACUUUUCUCUGAUGCUCCUACCUAGACCUUAUAAUUGUUGUCUUACCAGACAAGUUUAGAUCUAGUUACUCUGUCUAAUACUGUCUGGUAAUGCCGUCCAUUACAAGGUAUCUCAUCGCUCUUCUUCUGUCAGUUUCUUGGACAAUCUGUACAAAUCAACUGGUAUCCGGUCAUGUGAUGUCUUUUUCCCUCAAUGGCUUUUUCCAUAACUGGCAUGUAAGGUUUAAUUGCAGGUCAAAUAAAAAUAGUGUUGAAUUAUGUUAUUGUAUGCAAUAUCUCUAGUCAAAAACAUCCUAUAGGAUCCCCCCAAAAAAUAUCCAAUUAGAAUCCCAAAGAAAAUUCAAUAAGAUUUUGGAAGCUAUCCUAUAGGAUAGGAUUUUAUCCCAUGGGAUAGUACCGUGUACCUAGGACAGAAUCCUUCAGGAGUCCAAUAGGACUGGUUCCAAAAUCUGAUAGGAUUUUCUUUUGGCUUCUAUUAUUGAGUAGGGUAACUUGUUAUUUUAUAUUUGGUUUUUUUCCAGGACAGAUGUAAGAUUGAUUUGGAGACAGAUAUAGAGAAGGGUGAAGUGGUUAAGGGCACAGACAGUCGGCCGAGCCAGGGCUCGAAUCCCCGUCUAGGAGGAGGCAUGUGUGGUCCGGAUUUGGGAGCUUAGACCGCUACACCAGACUCCAGCACACCGAUAAGAUUUUUAUAUUAGAUUAUUGUAUAUAAAAUCCUAUUCAAUAGAGCCCAAAAGGACUGGUUCCAAAAUCUGACAGGAUUUUCAUAUUGGCCUCUAAUUAGAUCCUUGUAUUGGAAUCCUAUCGGAUGAAACACUAUACGCUAUAGUUAACUUGGCUGCUUAACACAUGGAGCACCUGUGAACAGUGGACACGUCAACUAUAAUAGCAUCAUAAGCAACCAAUAUUGAACUGCCUCCUUUUCCACUUGAGAUGCCGACCCUAUAGUGGGGAACCGCCGGCAAUGUCGAGAUAGGGAAAAUGGGGAGGGAGCACCUUCUAAGGAUGGAGGGAGGGUAGGGGUGACAGCUCUGGGGGGGAAGGAGGCAGGGGAGGAGUUACAAUCCUGG